AAAAUUUUUACCUAGCUGUCUCAGUAAUUCUCUAUAUUUAUCCUUCUUCCGUUUUACGUUGUUUUUGAGGUUUGUCUCAUAACCAGUGGUGAGUUCAACCACAUAUAAGGAAUCAUUUGAGCACGAUAAUAACAAAUCUGGGCGAUACGUAUCACCAGUAAGUAUUGAAGGGCUUUUGAAUCCAUUUAAAUCAGCAUAGAGAGUAGAACCGUCAACAGUUUGUAAAGUAUGAGCAAGAAAGUUCAGGACUGAUUUGUGUGUCCACGUAAAUCGGUCGAGACAAAACUGACAUCCAACUACUAUGUGUAGUAAUGUUUCAGGGCUAAGACAAAAAGAACAGUCUGAAUUUGAAAAUAUUGCCCAUUUGUUUAGGUUUUUGCGCGUCGGAAGAGAGUUGUUAAUGUAACGAAUGGUAAAGUUGUAAAUGUUUUUCGGGAGCUUUGAUUGGGCGAUGGACCACACCUUGUUAAGCUGAGGUAAAGCGAACUUCUUGACGCUGCAGAAAAAGGAUCCUUGACUGGUUAAUUGGUUUAGGAGUUUGUUUUCGUGUCCAGAACGGAAAUCUUUGAGAACUUCCUUAGUAGAGUUAUAAGCGUCAUACUGGAUAUUAGUAUAGUUACUGGUUGCUCUUCACAGGUCGUUAGUUGAUUCAUAAUUUGGAGAAAAUUUCAAAGCUUUUCGGAGGACUGUUUAACAAUGGAUAAAUUUUGCCGAUGGAGGAUAAAUACUCAGGCCAAAUUUGUUAUUUGCUAGAAAGACA
Non-coding RNA from Paramuricea clavata, 760 nucleotides. NCBI's taxonomy places the organism in Eukaryota, Metazoa, Cnidaria, Anthozoa, Malacalcyonacea, Plexauridae. The record is from the annotation of a GenBank genome assembly.